GUCCACGCUGUAAACGAUGAGUGCUAGGUGUAGAGGGUAUCGACCCCUUCUGUGCCGCAGUUAACACAAUAAGCACUCCGCCUGGGGAGUACGGCCGCAAGGUUGAAACUCAAAGGAAUUGACGGGGGCCCGCACAAGCGGUGGAGCAUGUGGUUUAAUUCGACGCAACGCGAAGAACCUUACCAGGGCUUGACAUCCUACGAAUCCUAAGGAAACUUGGGAGUGCCUUUCGGGGAACGUAGAGACAGGUGGUGCAUGGUUGUCGU
This 266-nucleotide ribosomal RNA is filed under the name uncultured bacterium. RNAcentral's name for it is "partial 16S ribosomal RNA". It matches the Rfam family "Bacterial small subunit ribosomal RNA", at positions 793 to 1055 of the family's 1533-position model. The record is from RNAcentral.